UACGGAGGAUCCAAGCGUUAUCCGGAUUUAUUGGGUUUAAAGGGUGCGUAGGCGGAAUUGUAAGUCAGUGGUGAAAGCCUGCAGCUUAACUGCAGAACUGCCAUUGAUACUGCAAAUCUUGAGUACAUUUGAUGUGGGCGGAAUGUGUCAUGUAGCGGUGAAAUGCAUAGAUAUGACACAGAACACCGAUUGCGAAGGCAGCUCACAAAACUGUAACUGACGCUGAGGCACGAAAGCGUGGGGAUCGAACAGG
Molecule: ribosomal RNA, 253 nt
Filed under: uncultured bacterium
Lineage: Bacteria
Description: partial 16S ribosomal RNA
Rfam family: Bacterial small subunit ribosomal RNA
Source: RNAcentral